Molecule: long non-coding RNA, 370 nt
Organism: Manis pentadactyla (Chinese pangolin)
Lineage: Eukaryota; Metazoa; Chordata; Mammalia; Pholidota; Manidae
Exons: 4
Source: RefSeq, a predicted model, not a curated record
AGGUGAGGAAACAAUUCUUUAGGAAGGUGACGAACUCCAUCCAAACGUAUAUCUCUAACAAGCCAGGUGCGUCAAUUUGAAUACAGAUGCCAGGGAACAUCAAGGCUGAAGACUGAAGUCCUUUCCUACUGACCCACCUUAGCUCACUCUGGAGAAACAAAGGGCGAAUGACAUACCCUUUAACCUGAAAGUGGUCAUUUCAGAGUCAAUACCCUACAGAGGUGUCUACAAAAAUCAGAUAAAGAAACUCACAUACGUGGGAAUUCACAGCACCAGGAUUCAAACCGAGGCAAUUUGGAACCGGAAGACACACUUAACCAUUAUACCAUUGCGUUUAAACAAAUACUUGCUACAUCUAAAUAAAUUUUAU